Non-coding RNA from Phascolarctos cinereus (koala), 6407 nucleotides. Lineage: Eukaryota; Metazoa; Chordata; Mammalia; Diprotodontia; Phascolarctidae. The record is from RefSeq and is a predicted model, not a curated record.
GGAAGAAGGGAGCACAUCAGGCACACUGUGCAGCACUGUCCCUAGGGUAGUGGGAGCGAGAAGUUUGGGAUCUGGGUUUAGUUCUAGGGUCUGAGAAAGUCUCUAGAGUGGUAGGAAGAGGACAGAGGGGGUGGAUGUAGGAAGCAACAGAACUCCAGCAGGGUCUACACUUCCUACUACAGAUUAUCAUUCUGAAUGCAGCUGGGGUCACCUCCCAUGUCAGCUGCAUGUCCACGGAUCCUGUAGGAAUGGGCUGGCUAGGAGCUCUAAGGCUUAGUGCCUGUCCACUCUAACCGUCCACUCUUCCACCUGGCUUCAUUCCCAGGGGAAAGCCCCAAGCAUGGCCCUGUGACUGGCAUGGAAGAGGUAUUCUAAAGUCUAGUGAGACAUGGGCAAAGAGAGAGGGAAGGCUAGAAAGAACUAGAGCAAUGAAGGCCUCAUGAGACAAAUUCUUGGAUAUGACUCUGCAGGAAAACAGGAGCCCAAGGCUCAAACUCCAAUGCCCUUCCCUUCUCCCUGACUCCAGCCCCCUCUGACCUUUCCUUUCACCCAGGACGGCUUUCUCAGGAAGAACAACAGAAGCUCAGAAUCCCACAGGUGGAAGGGAUGAGCUUUAGAGGUCAUUUAGUCUAACCUCUGAGCAAGAAUCUUCUUUACAAGCAACGACAAAGAAUCACCCAGCCUCCAUCUGAAAGACCUCCAGGGACAGGAACUCACUGCCUCCUGAGGAAGCCAACUUCACUUUUAGACAAUUGUCAACACCACAGAAAGGCAGGAAGAGGGAGACCAUCCUUGUCGAAGGAGGAAAACAAGAGCUCAGAUGUGGAAUAUUUCCCUGACCAGGGUGGAGAUUUGGGAGAUCCUGCCUUCAAGUCUGGGCCUUUGGUCACACUUCUAAAGCACAUUAGCACAAUUUGCUAAUGAUUUUCACAACGUGCCCACCAGAGUACUCGACCAACUUAUCUAUUUUGCAGGUGAAAAUAUAGAAACUUAGUCUUAGGAGGCCGCAGAAGUCUGGGAUAUUGCCCCCCCCCGACCCCUUAGUUUAGGCUGCCUCCCUCCCCUCCUUUCCAUUCAUUCACACCCAGUUCCUUCCUACUUUUUAUGGUCCUUCAGCAGGCAGAGUUGGGGGGGGGGUGUUACUCACGCUGGCAGGGAGCUGUGAAGAGGCAAUCAUAGAACAUGAUGCAGCCCAGGGGUGGCCUGCCUGGCCAGCUCCUGGUCACGCCUCUCUGCAGGAGCAGGUGGGAACAAGGACAGCUUUUAUACCAGCAGCCUUGGUGAACUAAUCCCCUCGAGUUUGCUCAAAGCUCCUUGGGCUCUCUCUGAAUAAACAUCCCCCUCAUAGUAGGUACAAAACAAGGAGGGGCCUUUGCAGCACACUGAGAGGUCAGUACCUGGGCUGGGGAGAUGCUAUCGGGAAGGAGGUCAAGUUUCAUGCACAUCUCUCUGAGGUGAUGAGCAGGAGGAGGGGCUAUUUUUUUUCCCCCAAAGAAAAUAAAUCCUCAGCACCUCCCCGCUUCUGCCUCCAGCUCUCUGCAUGAGUUUUUUGGGAUCCUAACCCCUUGAAAGAUAUGUCCCCAGAUGCUGGUGGCAUUUUUUGCCCCCAGUGCUUCAGGGAAAUCUGCUAAUAUCCCGAGUGAAGGUGCCUUUUUGCUAGGCUGAAGGCUUAGAGGGCAAGAACUGGGGUGGGGGUAGGGGGUUGUCAUUUUGCCUUGAGGUAAACUGAGGAUUAAAGCAUUCCAUUUUCCUUGUGUAGGAACAGCCAGUAGGAGUAAAAGGGGCAAAUAAACCUGCUGAAGGGAUGGUGAGGCUAAGUAGAUCACUUCCUGAUCAUCUUCCAGAGGGAGAUGGGAUGAAAGUGCCCAGUACAGGGCCGAUGGUAUCGCCCACAGUUGAAGCCUCUGAAGAAGCUGUUUAAAAGCCCAGGACCUUCAGACUUGCCCUUCUGGCUUCAGGCAUGAUGGAGCUCUUUGGAGAUGAUGCCAUGGGAAGCUGCUGCAAGCUGGGUCCAGGCCAAUUAGGUACAAUCUCGUUAUCAAGAGAGUUUGCAUGCUGAUCUGAUGAGAAAGAGAGCAGUCAAACCCCACUUCGGCUCAGUGCUGGGGGAAGGGAUGGUCCUCAGAGGAUGAUGAUGACAGGCAAUACUUAUUGAAAUAGUUCUGGCAUCCAGAGUCCUCAGGAUAGCCUACAAAAGCAUCAGUUUCUGGAUUUAGCUUAAUUGCUUUCUUUUGGGUUUUAUUUGGGCCUCUCCUUGGCAUCCUUGUGGGGCCUCAAGGGAAGAGGCAUUUAAUGACUCCAGCCCAACUGGUAAGGCUGGGAGCAACCUGAGAAAGCAGUAUGCCACGUGAGGCUCCCCACACACCCAGGUGUGUGGGUGACCUGAGCCGGGACGCUGUGUCCCCAGUCAAAGGGAUGGGCCAUCAACUAAGCCGGCAAUGGAGGGGUGGGGCUCUGGCUUGGUUCAGUGUUGUGCCUCCUAUCUCACAGCUCAGUGCCGGGCUAGUGGCAUCUUUGGCUGCCUGAAGAGGUCCAAGAGGGACUGCUGGGCAAGACCCAAAGUUAACAGCAGCUGUCAUUUUUUCCCACAAGUCCUCAUUGUUUCUACUUGAGGCAAAGCACAGGAAGAGGAAUGUUCACCGCCACCAGGCUAACGGUCAAGAGUCCUUAGGCCUGGGCUGAGGCUCUAAUUGGUUUGGUUGGUUUUCUAGAAGUACUAAGAACCCUAAGAGAAGUCAGCAACCGGUAAGUGAGCUUCCUAAUAAUUUCAGGCUUUUUGCUUCACACAUAUGUGUAUAUGCCCCAAAGGCAUCUGUGGAUCUAUGCUUGCAGGGAUGCUCUCGUGUGUUUGUGUGUGUGUGUGUGUGUGUAUGUGUGUAUAUGUGUGCAUGCGUGCACACAUCUGUGGCCACGGCUAUGUGACUACAUCCUCCUGUGUUCUGAUGGGUGUGUCUGCAACUAUGUGAGUGUAUAUGGAUAGUCUGAAUGUCUUUGUUUGAAUCGUGAAAGUGGGUAGGGGGUAGGCAGGUAUUUCUCCUCAGCCUCCUGACCUACCAUGCUCUCCUCAUGUACACCCCUCUCUAUAGGCACAUCUGUGCUCCACCUUCCCUGCUUCCAGCUUCCAGCUGUCCAUGGAAGAGGAAUCGGACUUAUCCUGCGUGGCCUCAGGGGUCAGAACAAGGAGCCACCUCUUGUUCUGCAUCUGCAGAGGCAGAGUCUAGCCAGAUGAAAAGAAAAACUGACUAGUGGUUACAGCUGUUCAAAAGUAGAAUAUUUUGCCUUAGAAAGUAGUGAGUUGCUCAUAACUGUAAGACUUCAAGAAGUGGAGGCUACAUGAUCCUUUGUCAGGCAUAGCAUAGAGGGAAUUUCUCUUCCAUUCCAAUCCUGAAAUUCUGUAAUUCUGUGGUCUGUGGCUAUGUCCUCCUCUACACACACGCAUCUCUCUGAGUAGGUCUGUCUGUAGCUUUCUGUGUAUGUAUGGAUGAUUUGUGUGAAAGGACCUCUCCCAAGAGGCCUCAAGUCUUGAAGUUAAUAACCAGAAUGCUUGGUGUCACAAUGGUGGAUUACAUUGAAUUCCUUUUCACUCAUCAGUGUUCUUCAGCUUUCCUAUGGAUGUGCUGUGUGGUCCCAAGCCGGCUUGACCUCAGGUGCCUUAUCUGAAUAUGAGAAGUGACUCUUUCAGUGAGAGAAGGAUGUGAGGGUGAAUUAGAUUUCCAGUUAAAGUCUUUGACUUUCUUAGGCAAAGGGAUCCUUUAUAGACAGGGGACAGCUAGUCCAGAAAUCAGGGCUUGACUCUGGGCCAUAUAGUUCAAUGCAGACUCUGUGAUGCUACCAACCUAGAGAUCUGAUACUCCCAUUGGGGAGUUGGUUUGGGGGGAGAAAAAGGUUCCUGGAAAUGGAGCUGUUCUUGGCUCCUAAUUAAAAUUCCCAUUGCUCAUAGGACCUGGGCAGUCUCCUGGCUCCCAACCUAAGUGUGUCUGUAGCUUUCACAGAAGCCAGGCGAGCCAGGAAUCAUAAAGGUCUGAGGCUUUCGGCCCAGCUCUGCCCCUUAUAUCCAAUACAAUCUGAGCCUUAGGCCAUUGCUUUUUAAGCCUGUUUCCUAUCUGUAGUGAGGGCUAAUUUUUGAUGCUGCUCAUACAGAGACGGAGGGUAAAAAAGGCCAGGUGUCUAGGGAAAUAGGUACAUAAGACACCUAUAGGAUGCAGAAUACCCAUAGAUCCACCUGCCCUUCUACUGUUAGAAAUAACAUGGAAAACAGAUAAGGGACAUCCUCCAGUGAGCUGGAGACUGGGGUGGGGAUGGAAUAGGGGGGUGUUGUACUUUACAGAGAGAUAGAUUUCAGUUAAAUAUAAAGAAAAACUUCCUACCAAUCAGAAUUUUCCAGAUACCAUGACUAUCCCAUACAACCUCUUCUGAUCCUAGCAAGGACAUUCAAACUUUCUCCCCAUACAGAAAUAGAUUUCCAAGACAGCCCAAUACAAAAGAAAUAAAGAUUAGAUGUAAAUUGUAUGACAUGUCAUCUUGGCCCACUGCCUUAUUUCUCUGCAGCUCUUGGUACCAAAGUUCGUAAAAGUGAAAGAAAGCAUCAUUCAAUACAGUCUUAACACUGACAAGUUGGUACCAAAGGGCUACUUUCUUUCCUCCUGAGGAACUAGGGGACCCAGAAUGCACAUCCUAUCCUCAGCUGGACAUCCAGCCUCUCUGGGCACAGAGCCCACUGUCAUCUACAGUACCCUUCCUCCCUCCUGCUCAGAUUUCUUUGAAAAGUUUGGCUGCCUCUGAGAACAGAGAUUGAUGAAUUCAGAGUACUGUUCCCAACUGUGAGUAAUUUGAUCUUUGCCAGUAUCAUCUUUAAAGUCACCUCCAGAGCAGAUUGGCUGGGGACAGGAUUCUGUUGUUAGUCUAGUCGGCUUUUCAUUUUUUCCUCAACUUGCCUCCAGUUUGUGUGUUCCGGGUCUUACUCUAGAGAACCAAUGCCGGGGGGCCCCUCCCUUCCCUGCUCUGAUCCCUGGAUAAUUUCCAAUUGCUUCUGGCCAUGGAAUAGACCUGGACAGUUCUUAGCCCACAAGAUCUGGCAGUCCCUGAGCCUGAGCCAGUCUCCUGUGGUAAGGUACCUGAGGGUGCCCCUGUGGAAAUGUUUUGCCCUAGAUGAACAACUUGAAUAGUUAGGACCAAAAUACCUCAAAGCCGCAUUCAUUCCUUCAGAAGGUUGGCAAGUAGAUAUUUUGUCCCAGUGAAGGCCCAUGAGACUGACAAAAUAGUUUUGGAUGAACAUAUUUGCCCCACCAGUCUCAUUAAGUGAUAAGGUUGAAAGAGAUCCUAAAGGCUGGUGCGUCACUUAACCCAGUCGAGGCCUCCUCUACAGUAUCCAGUAAACGGCUCCAUCUUUCCUCAUUACACACUGAAGCAUCUAUUCCAUCUCUAGAUGGCUCUAAUUGUUAAGAAGUUUUCCCUGAGACUGAGCUGAAAUGUCCCUCUGUAACUUUCACCUCCCACCCCACCCCCCAUUGGUCCUUGCUAUAAGUCUGAGCCUUCAUUCAGUCUGUAAACACCCGAAGAUGGCAAUCCCAGGACUCCAUUAAAUACUCUCUUCUCUCAGCUGAACAUUUUCGGUUCCUCUAACCCACCCUAGGCCAGCAUGGUUGCGAGCUCUCACCAUUCCAGUAACUGUCUUCCAGACCUAGUCUCGUUCCAUUCAUCCCUGGCUGUAGAUGUGGUCUAACCAGGGAAAAGCACAGUGGCAUCAUCUGACUUCUCGUCUUGGAAGCUGCUCUGCCUGCUAACGCAACCUGAGUUGUGUGUGUAUCUUUUGGCUACAACAAUGCAGAUUCCCAAGGAGCUUUGAAUCACUAAGAUCUGUUCAGUCUACCUGCAAUCUCAGUUCAAACCAUCUACUAUGUUGACUACUCCUCUCAUUUGACAAUUACUAGGACACACACAAUAAGUAUGCCAUUUAGACCUUCAUCCUAGUCAUGUUGGCUGGAAAAGAGGCAAAGACAAUUUCUACAGAGGCCUCAACUGAGCAAUAUAACAGCAGCCUAUGGUGGGGUGAGCUCAGUAACACCUUCAGGGGACUGUUACUGGACUGCAAGCUUACCUUACUCAGUAACACCUGAAUUUGGGGUGUACCCAAUCAAAGCUGACAAAGAUGGCAAAAGGAAUGAAAUCCCAUCAAGCAGACCUCAUCCUCUAAGUCUGCAUCAUAAGUAAUAACUUCUCCCAGGCUGGGACUCACUGCCCCAGUCUUGCAAGAUUCUCCUGAUCUUCAUCUUCAUCCGUAUGGCCCUUCACUAACUAAAACUUCAAACAUGGAGACUUCCCUAUGUAUCCUUCAUAUCCGUUACCCAAAUGUACAAGAUACCUAGUGAGAACACCGAUCCCUACAGAAAUAUACUCUUUAAAACUUC